AUUGAACGCUGGCGGCAUGCUUUACACAUGCAAGUCGAACGGCAGCGCGGGCUUCGGCCUGGCGGCGAGUGGCGAACGGGUGUGUAAUGCAUCGGAACGUGCCCAGUAGUGGGGGAUAGCCCGGCGAAAGCCGGAUUAAUACCGCAUACGACCUGAGGGUGAAAGCGGGGGACCGAAAGGCCUCGCGCUAUUGGAGCGGCCGAUGUCGGAUUAGCUAGUUGGUGGGGUAAAGGCCUACCAAGGCGACGAUCCGUAGCUGGUCUGAGCGGACGACCAGCCACAUUGGGACUGAGACACGGCCCAGACUCCUACGGGAGGCCGCAGUGGGGAAUUUUGGACAAUGGGGGCAACCCUUAUCCAGCCAUGCCGCGUGCGGGAAGAAGGCCUCCGGGUUGUAAUCCGCUUUUGUUCGGGAAGAAAUCCUCUGGGCUAAUACCCCGGGGGGAUGACGGUACCGGAAGAAUAAGCACCGGCUAACUACGUG
RNAcentral lists this ribosomal RNA (484 nucleotides) under uncultured bacterium. RNAcentral's name for it is "partial 16S ribosomal RNA". It matches the Rfam family "Bacterial small subunit ribosomal RNA", at positions 28 to 507 of the family's 1533-position model. The record is from RNAcentral.